This 73-nucleotide transfer RNA is filed under the name Planctomycetota bacterium. RNAcentral describes it as "Planctomycetes bacterium (freshwater metagenome) tRNA-Val". It matches the Rfam family "tRNA". Rfam says of the family: Transfer RNA (tRNA) molecules are approximately 80 nucleotides in length. Their secondary structure includes four short double-helical elements and three loops (D, anti-codon, and T loops). The record is from RNAcentral. Lineage: Bacteria; Pseudomonadati; Planctomycetota.
GAUCCCGUGGUCCAGCGGCGAAGACGCCUGGAUGACACCCAGGAGAUCGGCAGUUCGAUUCUGCCCGGGAUCA